This 464-nucleotide ribosomal RNA is filed under the name uncultured bacterium. RNAcentral describes it as "bacterial SSU rRNA". It matches the Rfam family "Bacterial small subunit ribosomal RNA", at positions 28 to 506 of the family's 1533-position model. The record is from RNAcentral.
GAUGAACGCUGGCGGCGUGCCUAAUACAUGCAAGUCGAACGAGGUGCUUUUGUAGCAAUACGAAAGUAUCCUAGUGGCGAACGGGUGAGUAACGCGUUGGUGACCUACCCCAAAGUGUGGGAUAACAGUUCGAAAGAACUGCUAAUACCGCAUGUGGUUAUCGGGUUUAGAAACUGAUAACUAAAGGAGCAAUUCGCUUUGGGAGGGACCUGCGUCCCAUCAGCUAGUUGGUGAGGUAACGGCUCACCAAGGCUACGACGGGUAGGGGACCUGAGAGGGUGGCCCCCCACAAUGGAACUGAAACACGGUCCAUACACCUACGGGUGGCAGCAGUAGGGAAUAUUGCACAAUGGGCGAAAGCCUGAUGCAGCAACGCCGCGUGUGCGAUGAAGGCCUGGUUGUAAGCUCUUUACCUAGGAGUGAUAAUGACAGUACCUGGAGAAUAAGACUCCGGCUAACUCCGU